Molecule: non-coding RNA, 54 nt
Organism: Salmo salar (Atlantic salmon)
Lineage: Eukaryota; Metazoa; Chordata; Actinopteri; Salmoniformes; Salmonidae
Source: Rfam
UAUACACUCUACUGUAAGUCGCUCUGGAUAAGAGCGUCUGCUAAAUGACUGUAA